AGAGUCAUACGAAUGUGAAGUAGCGACCCACAUCGGCCCCGAGUCAUGCGGAGCCGCCCGCGAGGGCGGAAGUACGGGCCGGGUAUUCAGCCGCGUAAGAAACUCACUCCGGGAUGCCGACGCUGUAAGGAGAUGCGGAAGGCCCCAUCUGAUGCACCGAUAUCGCGAGGUGAACCAGAGUCCCGCGCGGUCAGAGACCC
Non-coding RNA from Acidobacteriales bacterium 13_2_20CM_2_55_5, 200 nucleotides. NCBI's taxonomy places the organism in Bacteria, Pseudomonadati, Acidobacteriota, Terriglobia, Terriglobales. The record is from Rfam.